RNAcentral lists this ribosomal RNA (468 nucleotides) under uncultured bacterium. Its description in RNAcentral is "partial 16S ribosomal RNA". It matches the Rfam family "Bacterial small subunit ribosomal RNA", at positions 28 to 507 of the family's 1533-position model. The record is from RNAcentral.
GACGAACGCUGGCGGCGUGCUUAACACAUGCAAGUCGAACGGAAAGGCCCUGCUUUUGUGGGGUGCUCGAGUGGCGCACGGGUGAGUAACACGUGAGUAACCUGCCCUUGACUUUGGGAUAACUUCAGGAAACUGGGGCUAAUACCGGAUAGGAGCUCCUGCUGCAUGGUGUGGGUUGGAAAGUUUCGGCGGUUGGGGAUGGACUCGCGGCUUAUCAGCUUGUUGGUGGGGUAGUGGAUUACCAAGGCUUUGACGGGUAGCCGGCCUGAGAGGGUGACCGGCCACAUUGGGACUGAGAUACGGCCCAGACUCCUACGGGAGGCAGCAGUGGGGAAUAUUGCACAAUGGGCGGAAGCCUGAUGCAGCAACGCCGCGUGCGGGAUGACGGCCUUCGGGUUGUAAACCGCUUUCGCCUGUGACGAAGCGUGAGUGACGGUAAUGGGUAAAGAAGCACCGGCUAACUACGUG